This is a regulatory RNA element of Lachnoclostridium sp. An118, 64 nucleotides long. It matches the Rfam family "pemK RNA". Lineage: Bacteria; Bacillati; Bacillota; Clostridia; Lachnospirales; Lachnospiraceae. The record is from Rfam.
AUAAUGAUACAUCCGCAUGGUGCGGUUCUGCCCACAGGAAUGGGAAUGGCUGAAAUGCCAGUGG